This 447-nucleotide ribosomal RNA is filed under the name uncultured bacterium. RNAcentral describes it as "bacterial SSU rRNA". It matches the Rfam family "Bacterial small subunit ribosomal RNA", at positions 329 to 793 of the family's 1533-position model. The record is from RNAcentral.
AUCCAGACUCCUACGGGAGGCAGCAGUGGGGGAUAUUGCACAAUGGGGGGAACCCUGAUGCAGCGACGCCGCGUGGGUGAAGGAGUGCUUCGGUAUGUAAAGCUCUAUCAGCAGGGAAGAAAAUGACGGUACCUGAUUAAGAAGCCCCGGCUAACUACGUGCCAGCAGCCGCGGUAAUACGUAGGGGGCAAGCGUUAUCCGGAUUUACUGGGUGUAAAGGGAGCGUAGACGGCGCGGCAAGUCUGAAGUGAAAGGCAGGGGCUUAACCCCUGAACUGCUUUGGAAACUGCCAUGCUAGAGUGCUGGAGAGGUAAGUGGAAUUCCUAGUGUAGCGGUGAAAUGCGUAGAUAUUAGGAGGAACACCAGUGGCGAAGGCGGCUUGCUGGACGACGACUGACGUUGAGGCUCGAAAGCGUGGGGAGCAAACAGGAUUAGAUACCCGAGUAU